UACCAUGGUGGUAACGGGUAACGGGGUGUUAGGGCACGACACCGGAGAGGGAGCCUGAGAAACGGCUACCACAUCCAAGGAUGGCAGCAGGCGCGCAAAUUACCCAAUCCCGACACGGGGAGGUAGUGACAAUAAAUAGCAAUACGGGGUUCUUUAGGAUCUCGUAAUUGGAAUGAGUACAAUUUAAAUCUCUUAACGAGGAACAAUUGGAGGGCAAGUCUGGUGCCAGCAGCCGCGGUAAUUCCAGCUCCAAUAGCGUAUAUUAAAGUUGUUGCAGUUAAAAAGCUCGUAGUUGAAUUUCGGGAUCAAUACGUCGGUCGUGCUUUCGGGUACGUACUGGCGUCAUUGGUUUCUCCUUUCUGACGAACCAUGAUGUCAUUAAUUUGGUGUUAUGGGGAGUUAGGACUGUUACUUUGAAAAAAUUAGAGUGUUUAAAGCAGGCAUUAGCUUGAAUACAUUAGCAUGGAAUAAUGAAAUAGGACGUUCGAUCCUAUUUUGUUGGUUUCUAGGAUCAACGUAAUGAUUAAUAGGGAUAGUUGGGGGCAUUAGUAUUCAAUUGUCAGAGGUGAAAUUCUUGGAUUUAUUGAAGACUAACUACUGCGAAAGCAUUUGCCAAGGAUGUUUUCAUUAAUCAAGAACGAAAGUUAGGGGAUCGAAGACGAUCAGAUACCGUCGUAGUCUUAACCAUAAACUAUGCCGACUAGGGAUCGGAUGACGUUAAUUUUUUAAUGACUCAUUCGGCGCCUUACGGGAAACCAAAGUGUUU
RNAcentral lists this ribosomal RNA (766 nucleotides) under uncultured Glomus. RNAcentral describes it as "SSU rRNA". It matches the Rfam family "Eukaryotic small subunit ribosomal RNA", at positions 342 to 1108 of the family's 1831-position model. The record is from RNAcentral. Lineage: Eukaryota; Fungi; Glomeromycota; Glomeromycetes; Glomerales; Glomeraceae.